UGGGGAAUAUUGGACAAUGGGCGCAAGCCUGAUCCAGCCAUGCCGCGUGUGUGAAGAAGGCCUUUUGGUUGUAAAGCACUUUAAGCGGGGAGGAGGCAACUUGGGUUAAUACCCCGAUGUUGCGGACGUUACCCGCAGAAUAAGCACCGGCUAACUCUGUGCCAGCAGCCGCGGUAAUACAGAGGGUGCGAGCGUUAAUCGGAAUUACUGGGCGUAAAGCGCGCGUAGGCGGCUUGUUAAGUCGGAUGUGAAAUCCCUGGGCUCAACCUAGGAACUGCAUUCGAUACUGGCAAGCUAGAGUGUGGGAGAGGAAGGUAGAAUUCCAGGUGUAGCGGUGAAAUGCGUAGAGAUCUGGAGGAAUACCGAUGGCGAAGGCAGCCUUCUGGCCUAACACUGACGC
This 400-nucleotide ribosomal RNA is filed under the name uncultured bacterium. RNAcentral's name for it is "bacterial SSU rRNA". It matches the Rfam family "Bacterial small subunit ribosomal RNA", at positions 355 to 746 of the family's 1533-position model. The record is from RNAcentral.